UUCUGGAAUGUUCUGCAUCAAAGUGGAAGGUGGUUGGAGCCGUUGAAGGAAGGAACAUCUGCAGGAAGAAGCUGAGGCAGAGAGAAGAUAAAGGAUUCAGUGAGGCACCACGAAGAACUCCAGGAUGAGACAACACUCAACAUGAGGAGAUAAGAUGGAAGC
Long non-coding RNA from Lacerta agilis (Sand lizard), 162 nucleotides. RefSeq lists it as uncharacterized. The transcript is spliced from 2 exons. The record is from RefSeq and is a predicted model, not a curated record. NCBI's taxonomy places the organism in Eukaryota, Metazoa, Chordata, Lepidosauria, Squamata, Lacertidae.